RNAcentral lists this ribosomal RNA (482 nucleotides) under uncultured bacterium. Its description in RNAcentral is "partial 16S ribosomal RNA". It matches the Rfam family "Bacterial small subunit ribosomal RNA", at positions 30 to 507 of the family's 1533-position model. The record is from RNAcentral.
AUUGAACGCUGGCGGCAUGCUUUACACAUGCAAGUCGAACGGUAACAGGCCGCAAGGUGCUGACGAGUGGCGAACGGGUGAGUAAUGCAUCGGAACGUGCCCAGCCGUGGGGGAUAACUACUCGAAAGAGUAGCUAAUACCGCAUACGAUCUAUGGAUGAAAGCGGGGGACCGUAAGGCCUCGCGCGAUUGGAGCGGCCGAUGUCAGAUUAGGUAGUUGGUGGGGUAAAGGCUCACCAAGCCAACGAUCUGUAGCUGGUCUGAGAGGACGACCAGCCACACUGGGACUGAGACACGGCCCAGGCUACUGCGGGAGGCAGCAGAGGGGAAUUUUGGACAAUAGGCGCGAGCCUGGUACAACAAGGCCGCGUGCAGUAAGAAGGCGUUCGGGUUGUAAACUGCUUUUGUACGGAGCGAAACGGCUCUGGUUAAUACCCGGGGCUAAUGACGGUACCGUAAGAAUAAGCACCGGCUAACUACGUG